RNAcentral lists this ribosomal RNA (446 nucleotides) under uncultured bacterium. RNAcentral's name for it is "partial 16S ribosomal RNA". It matches the Rfam family "Bacterial small subunit ribosomal RNA", at positions 338 to 795 of the family's 1533-position model. The record is from RNAcentral.
CCUACGGGUGGCAGCAGUCGAGAAUCAUUCACAAUGGUGGGAACCCUGAUGGUGCGACGCCGCGUGGGGGAAUGAAGGUCUUCGGAUUGUAAACCCCUGUCGUGUGGGAACAAAUUCAAAAGCUCGUCCCCCAAGAGGACGAGCCGGCUAACUCUGUGCCAGCAGCCGCGGUCCUACAGAGGGCUCACGCGUUGUUCGGCAUCACUGGGCCUAAUGGGUGCGUAGGCUGUUUCGUAAGUCGAGUGUGAAAGGCGCGGGCUCAACCCGCGGACGGCACAUGAUACUGGGAGACUAGAGUUGUGGAGAGGGAACCGGAAUGCGCGGUGUAGCAGUGAAAUGCGUAGAUAUCGAGAGGAACACCAGUGGCGAAGGCGGCUUACUGGACUGAAACUGACGUUGAGGCACGAAAGCGUGGGGAGCAAACAGGAUUAGAUACCCCGGUAGUC